GGGACGAACGCUGGCGGCGUGCUUAACACAUGCAAGUCGAGCGGAAAGGCCCUUCGGGGUACUCGAGCGGCGAACGGGUGAGUAACACGUGAGUAAUCUGCCCCUAGCUCUGGGAUAGCUCCGGGAAACCGGGAUUAAAUACCGGAUAUGACCACUUUAGACAUCUGCUGUGGUGGAAAGAAUUUCGGCUAGGGAUGAGCUCGCGGCCUAUCAGCUUGUUGGUGGGGUAACGGCCUACCAAGGCGACGACGGGUAGCCGGCCUGAGAGGGCGACCGGCCACACUGGGACUGAGACACGGCCCAGACUCCUACGGGAGGCAGCAGUGGGGAAUAUUGCGCAAUGGGCGAAAGCCUGACGCAGCGACGCCGCGUGGGGGAUGAAGGCCUUCGGGUUGUAAACCCCUUUCAGCAGGGACGAAGCGAAAGUGACGGUACCUGCAGAAGAAGCGCCGGCUAACACGUGCCAGCAGCCGC
RNAcentral lists this ribosomal RNA (474 nucleotides) under uncultured bacterium. RNAcentral's name for it is "SSU rRNA". It matches the Rfam family "Bacterial small subunit ribosomal RNA", at positions 27 to 518 of the family's 1533-position model. The record is from RNAcentral.